Molecule: ribosomal RNA, 496 nt
Filed under: uncultured bacterium
Lineage: Bacteria
Description: partial 16S ribosomal RNA
Rfam family: Bacterial small subunit ribosomal RNA
Source: RNAcentral
GACGAACGCUGGCGGCGUGCCUAAUACAUGCAAGUUGAGCGCUGAAGGUUGGUACUUGUACCAACUGGAUGAGCAGCGAACGGGUGAGUAACGCGUGGGGAAUCUGCCUUUGAGCGGGGGACAACAUUUGGAAACGAAUGCUAAUACCGCAUAAAAACUUUAAACACAAGUUUUAAGUUUGAAAGAUGCAAUUGCAUCACUCAAAGAUGAUCCCGCGUUGUAUUAGCUAGUUGGUGAGGUAAAGGCUCACCAAGGCGAUGAUACAUAGCCGACCUGAGAGGGGGAUCCGCCACAUUGGGACUGAGACACGGCCCAAACUCCUACGGGGGGCAGCAGUAGGGAAUCUUCGGCAAGGGACGAAAGUCUGACCGAGCAACGCCGCGGGGGUGAAGAAGGUUUUCGGAUCGUAAAACUUUGUUGGUAGAAAAGAACGUUGGGGAGGGGGGAAAGCUCAUCAAGUGACGGUAACUACCCAGAAAGGGACGGCUAACUACGU